This 253-nucleotide ribosomal RNA is filed under the name uncultured bacterium. Its description in RNAcentral is "partial 16S ribosomal RNA". It matches the Rfam family "Bacterial small subunit ribosomal RNA", at positions 524 to 776 of the family's 1533-position model. The record is from RNAcentral.
UACGUAGGGCGCAAGCGUUGUCCGGAAUUAUUGGGCGUAAAGAGCUCGUAGGCGGUCUGUCGCGUCGGCUGUGAAAACCCGGGGCUCAACCCCGGGCCUGCAGUCGAUACGGGCAGACUAGAGUGCGGUAGGGGAGACUGGAAUUCCUGGUGUAGCGGUGGAAUGCGCAGAUAUCAGGAGGAACACCGGUGGCGAAGGCGGGUCUCUGGGCCGACACUGACGCUGAGGAGCGAAAGCCAGGGGAGCAAACGGG